Molecule: ribosomal RNA, 253 nt
Filed under: uncultured bacterium
Lineage: Bacteria
Also listed under: 1 other name
Description: partial 16S ribosomal RNA
Rfam family: Bacterial small subunit ribosomal RNA
Source: RNAcentral
UACGGAGGGUGCAAGCGUUAUUCGGAUUUAUUGGGCGUAAAGGGCGUGUAGGUGGUCUGAUAAGUCAGGUGUGAAAGCCCCUGGCUCAACCAGGGAAGUGCAUUUGAAACUAUCAGACUUGAGUACGGGAGGGGGAAGUGGAAUUCCUGGUGUAGAGGUGAAAUUCGUAGAUAUCAGGAGGAAUACCGGUGGCGAAGGCGACUUCCUGGACCGAUACUGACACUGAGACGCGAAAGCGUGGGGAGCAAACAGG